AUUGAACGCUGGCGGAAUGCUUUACACAUGCAAGUCGAACGGUAGAGGGGGCAACCCCUUGAGAGUGGCGAACGGGUGAGUAAUAUAUCGGAACGUGCCCAGUCGUGGGGAUAACGUAGCGAAAGUUACGCUAAUACCGCAUACGAUCUAAGGAUGAAAGCGGGGGAUCGCAAGACCUCGCGCGAUUGGAGCGGCCGAUAUCAGAUUAGGUAGUUGGUGAGGUAAAGGCUCACCAAGCCAACGAUCUGUAGCUGGUCUGAGAGGACGACCAGCCACACUGGAACUGAGACACGGUCCAGACUCCUACGGGAGGCAGCAGUGGGGAAUUUUGGACAAUGGACGCAAGUCUGAUCCAGCAAUGCCGCGUGCAGGAUGAAGGCCUCGGUUGUAACUAGUCUUUGUUACGGACGAGACGGUGAGC
RNAcentral lists this ribosomal RNA (421 nucleotides) under uncultured bacterium. RNAcentral describes it as "bacterial SSU rRNA". It matches the Rfam family "Bacterial small subunit ribosomal RNA", at positions 30 to 458 of the family's 1533-position model. The record is from RNAcentral.